UGGGGAAUAUUGCACAAUGGGGGAAACCCUGAUGCAGCGACGCCGCUUGAGCGAAGAAGGCUUUCGAGUCGUAAAGCUCUGUCCUAUGAGAAGAUAAUGACGGUAUCAUAGGAGGAAGCCCUGGCUAAAUACGUGCCAGCAGCCGCGGUAAUACGUAUGGGGCGAGCGUUGUCCGGAAUUAUUGGGCGUAAAGGGUACGUAGGUGGUUUUUUAAGUCAGGUGUCAAAGCGUGGAGCUUAACUCCAUUAAGCACUUGAAACUGAAAGACUUGAGUGAAGGAGAGGAAAGUGGAAUUCCUAGUGUAGCGGUGAAAUGCGUAGAUAUUAGGAGGAAUACCGGUGGCGAAGGCGACUUUCUGGACUUUUACUGACGCUCAGGUACGAAAGCGUGGGGAGCAAACAGG
Molecule: ribosomal RNA, 403 nt
Filed under: Verrucomicrobiota bacterium
Lineage: Bacteria; Pseudomonadati; Verrucomicrobiota
Description: Verrucomicrobia bacterium partial 16S ribosomal RNA
Rfam family: Bacterial small subunit ribosomal RNA
Source: RNAcentral